This 465-nucleotide ribosomal RNA is filed under the name Vreelandella stevensii. Its description in RNAcentral is "partial 16S ribosomal RNA". It matches the Rfam family "Bacterial small subunit ribosomal RNA", at positions 338 to 795 of the family's 1533-position model. The record is from RNAcentral. Lineage: Bacteria; Pseudomonadati; Pseudomonadota; Gammaproteobacteria; Oceanospirillales; Halomonadaceae.
CCUACGGGCGGCAGCAGUGGGGAAUAUUGGACAAUUGGGGGAACCCUGAUCCAGCCAUGCCGCGUGUGUGAAGAAGGCCCUCGGGUUGUAAAGCACUUUCAGUGAGGAAGAACGCCUGGUGGUUAAUACCCAUCAGGAAAGACAUCACUCACAGAAGAAGCACCGGCUAACUCCGUGCCAGCAGCCGCGGUAAUACGGAGGGUGCGAGCGUUAAUCGGAAUUACUGGGCGUAAAGCGCGCGUAGGUGGCUUGAUAAGCCGGUUGUGAAAGCCCCGGGCUCAACCUGGGAACGGCAUCCGGAACUGUCAAGCUAGAGUGCAGGAGAGGAAGGUAGAAUUCCCGGUGUAGCGGUGAAAUGCGUAGAGAUCGGGAGGAAUACCAGUGGCGAAGGCGGCCUUCUGGACUGACACUGACACUGAGGUGCGAAAGCGUGGGUAGCAAACAGGAUUAGAUACCCUGGUAGUC